This 247-nucleotide ribosomal RNA is filed under the name uncultured bacterium. RNAcentral describes it as "partial 16S ribosomal RNA". It matches the Rfam family "Bacterial small subunit ribosomal RNA", at positions 523 to 769 of the family's 1533-position model. The record is from RNAcentral.
AUACGAAGGGGGCUAGCGUUGUUCGGAAUUACUGGGCGUAAAGGAUGCGUAGGCGGAUAUGUAAGUCAGAUGUGAAAUACCCGGGCUCAACUUGGGUGCUGCAUUUGAUACUGGGUGUCUAGAGUGUGGAAGAGGUAAGUGGAAUUCCGAGUGUAGAGGUGAAAUUCGUAGAUAUUCGGAGGAACACCAGUGGCGAAGGCGGCUUACUGGUCCAUUACUGACGCUGAGGUGCGAAAGCGUGGGGAGC